CGUGAGAUGUUGGGUUAAGUCCCGCAACGAGCGCAACCCCUAUUGUUAGUUGCUACGCAAAGAGCACUCUAGCGAGACUGCGUUGACAAAACGGAGGAAGGUGGGGACGACGUCAAAUCAUCAUGCCCCUUAUAUCCUGGGCUACACACGUAAUACAAUGGCGGUCAACAGAGGGAAGCAAAGCCGCGAGGCAGAGCAAACCCCCAAAAGCCGUCCCAGUUCGGAUUGUAGGCUGCAAACUCGCCUGCA
Molecule: ribosomal RNA, 249 nt
Filed under: uncultured bacterium
Lineage: Bacteria
Description: partial 16S ribosomal RNA
Rfam family: Bacterial small subunit ribosomal RNA
Source: RNAcentral